AGCAGCCGCGGUAAUUCCAGCUCCAAUAGCGUAUAUUAAAGUUGUUGCAGUUAAAAAGCUCGUAGUUGAAUUUCGGGGUUAGUAGGUUGGUCAUGCCUCUGGUAUGUACUGGUCUCACUGAUUCCUCCUUCCUGAUGAGCCGUAAUGCCAUUAAUUUGGUGUUGCGGGGAAUUUGGACUGUUACUUUGAAAAAUUAGAGUGUUUAAAGCAAGCUAACGCUUGAAUACAUUAGCAUGGAAUAAUGAAAUAGGACGUUCGAUCCUAUUUUGUUGGUUUCUAGGAUUGACGUAAUGAUUAAUAGGGAUAGUUGGGGGCAUUAGUAUUCAAUUGUCAGAGGUGAAAUUCUUGGAUUUAUUGAAGACUAACUACUGCGAAAGCAUUUGCCAAGGAUGUUUUCAUUAAUCAAGAACGAAAGUUAGGGGAUCGAAGACGAUCAGAUACCGUCGUAGUCUUAACCAUAAACUAUGCCGACUAGGGAUCGGAUGAUGUAACUUUUUAAUGA
This 502-nucleotide ribosomal RNA is filed under the name uncultured Glomus. Its description in RNAcentral is "SSU rRNA". It matches the Rfam family "Eukaryotic small subunit ribosomal RNA", at positions 569 to 1078 of the family's 1831-position model. Lineage: Eukaryota; Fungi; Glomeromycota; Glomeromycetes; Glomerales; Glomeraceae. The record is from RNAcentral.